Molecule: long non-coding RNA, 3001 nt
Organism: Suricata suricatta (meerkat)
Lineage: Eukaryota; Metazoa; Chordata; Mammalia; Carnivora; Herpestidae
Exons: 3
Source: RefSeq, a predicted model, not a curated record
GAGUCUUGCAAUCGCCUCUCUAGUGCGUGGCUUGAUUUUGGUGUGUGUGUGUGUGUGUGUGUGUGUGUGAGUGUUGGGCUCCGUGUGUGAUAUUCUAAGGAAACAACAGAGUAAGGCCACACCCUGCAAGGCUCCCCCUGAGGUGGGUUCCCCUCCACUCUUAAUCUUCCAGGGAUGUUGCUUCUUAGGACACUGGGAGCCAGACGUGGCUUUGGACAGGAGAGUCUCUCUCUCUCUCUCUCUCUCUCUCUCUCUCUCUCUCUCUCUCUCUCUCUCUCUCUUCAUUCCCUUAGAUGUUGAGCUGUCCACAUGGGUUGGAAGGUCCUCCUAGAAGAAGAGGAAAGGUGGCCUCCACCCUCACCCCCAGGGCUAGCCUCAGAACAGCCAGGAAGACAACUUAGGCAGGAACCCAAGUUGCUUAUGAUGAACUGUAUUCUGUUUAUUUUCUUUUCUCCUUCUUAUAUCCUCAGGCUUCUAGUAAAAUCUGCUGUAAAUGCCCCAAAGUGGUCUCUGCCAUUAGGUGGGAAUGAACAGAAGACUGAGUGGCCUUCACUCAGGCAAACAUGUGAGCAAAGGAAGAUGUGGUCUCUGCUCCUGUUCCCAGCUUCUCUGGAUGAUGAGCCAUGGGAGGGCAAGGCUUUGCUCUGGUCUCCAACACCUGUCUCUGCAAGGACCACCCACUCCCCAAGCCUUUGCCACCCAUGGUCCUAAAGUCUUCUCACUCAUCCUUGACCUCACGGCCUUCACUCAAGAGGCUUAUGUGUGGGGCCUCUCUCUCAUGGGACAGCGCAUGGCUCGGAGUGUACACAGAAGGACAAAGUUGCAAGAUGCUUCCAUCAGGAGAGAGGAAAACAGAUCCACAGGGACGGAGGGGACAUCUGUGGCUGCCAGUUGCCUACAAGACAGUCCACCUUCUCUGAGCUACCAGGACCAUCGAUUCCCAAGGGGCACAGGGCCAGACCCCUGGGAUGGCCAGAACCACCAAGGGUAAUGAAAGCUUCUGCCCAGACAUGAAUGGAUGGAGAGCGAUCCACCAGGGAGAGUGGCUAUCCAAGACUGACUUACCCAAGACCAGAAGCUCAUUGGUGUCACCAUAGGUGGCAUCCUUAGAUUGUUCUCUUUGAUAAAUUUGGACAGUUUAUGGCCUGCGGAGGGGCAGAGUGAAGCGAUACCCACCACACAGCUCUUGUGACAGCUGCUUUAUGUUUAUGCAUUCUCUGAAAUAACUUUGGAUAAAAGGAAAAUCAAGUUCUGUUUUGUUUUCAUUUGUGCAAAGACAACUUCCCAUCCAUGGGUCCACCAUGCAACAAAUGCAUGUCUGCCUAGAAAGAAGCUCACCACUCUCCUUAAGUUUGGUUUUGAAAGAAUUGUAUAUGCCUUAUGGAUGAUGCUCAUCCUUAUGACACCCGGGAGAGGGGGGAGUUUUCCAGAAGUUGAGAUUGAGUAGUGGGUGCUUGGUACAACUGGAAGGUGGUGGUGUUAGAAUUCAGGAUAGGAUCUGCCUGACUCUAAGAUCCGAAGACUUCCUUACCCUUUGCCGUUACCUCGGAAUCAGAGUGUCAACCGUGGGCUGACACAGGCGGACGUCUUUCCUGGGUGCCUCAGUUCCAAAGCUGUCCAGUUAUUGGAAGCAUUGUCCUGACACCUGGUUGAUGAUAUGACUUCCUUCAGAGAUCCAGACUGGAUCCAUUCCUGGAUUCCCUACAGCCUGUUCUGAAAGAGGGAAAGAAAGCCUGCCAAGGAUGUGGAGGAGCUUUUCAGCUCCAUGGGGCUGAGUGAAGGACUGAGCCUCACAAGCCAACCUCAAGCCAUCUCUGUUUAUGGAGCCAUCAGAGGAGUUGUGUGCCGCCUACCCCGCCCCCUCAUUGGAGUACCGGGCUGGGCCCUGGGGGCCCUGGAUUCCAGACUUCGGUCUGCCACCAGCCUAGGUCAUCACACCUCUUGGGUCCAUGCUCAAAGGGGUUCAACUCUCCUCUCAGGUGAGUCAAGUUCUCGCUCUUCAAAAUAGGGCAUAUUUUCGGACACUCCAGGCUCCACCAGACUAGAGCCAGUGUGACCAUAGGAGAUGAAAACAGAGUAUCCCUCACCAUUUGGAACUGAUUUAUUUCACAAUAUCUUAGAGGGCACCGUGGAUGCUUGGCAGGGGCUCCUACAAGAUCGCCUGCCAGGGCAGCUGCUUUUUGGCAGCUGAUGGGAAGUCAGAGAGCUUCAUAUUUUCACCAGGUCCACAAACUCCCAUAUCUCAUUAGUCUGGAGGUUAGAGUAAAUGGUGCUUUCUUAUUUCCUCUGAAACAAUGUGCUAUGGAUGGAAUCCAAAAAUGAUAUGUUGAAGUCUUCACCCCCAGGACCGCAGGAUGGGAUCUUAUUUGGAGACUGUGUCUUUACAGACACACAGGUAGACAAGUGAAAGGAGGCCAUUUAUGAUGGGUUUGCAUGCAGUGUCCUUAUACAAAUGAGGAACAGGGACUCAGAUAGACACACAGAGAAAUGGAAGACAAUGGAAGACAAAGGGGGAAGCCAGCCAUCGACCAGGCAAGGGGAGAGCCGGGAACAGGCUGUCCCUCACAGCCCUCAGAAGACAUCAUCAUCUCAGACUUCUGGCCUCCAGAACUGUGAGACAAUGCAUUUCUGCUGUUCACACACACACCCCUCUGCCACCUUGCGGGACUUUGUUGGGGCAGCCCCGGUGCACCAACACACUGUGUGAGAUCGUUUGUCAGCCCAAAGAAAUCGAACUUGGUUCUAAGGCGGGGUAGUGGCCCAUACUCAUGAGGCUGAAUACAGAGAGCACGUGACACUGGGGACCCAAGGACAUUCCAUCCUCCCUGCCCCCCCUCCCGCCAUUUUCCUUUCCUAUUUUUUCCAAAGAGAAGGUGAGACAUAGACUAAGACUUUUCCCACUUGGUACUGCCUCCCACUUUGAUUAAUUUGAAGUUAUAUUUAAAAAUGGAAAUGUUAAACAUUUAAGUUGCCUUUGUUUUAAAAAAAAUUUUUAUUUACC